UACGUAGGGUGCAAGCGUUAAUCGGAAUUACUAAGCGUAAAGCGUGCGCAAACGGUUUUGUAAGCCAAAUGUGAAAGCCCCAAGCUCAACCUGGAAACUGCAUUUGGAACUACAAAACUAGAGUGUGUCAGAGGGGGGUGGAAUUCCGCGUGUAGCAGUGAAAUGCGUAGAGAUGCGGAGGAACACCGAUGGCGAAGGCAGCCCCCUGGGAUAACACUGACGCUCAUGCACGAAAGCGUGGGGAGCAAACAGG
This 253-nucleotide ribosomal RNA is filed under the name uncultured bacterium. RNAcentral describes it as "partial 16S ribosomal RNA". It matches the Rfam family "Bacterial small subunit ribosomal RNA", at positions 524 to 776 of the family's 1533-position model. The record is from RNAcentral.